Molecule: ribosomal RNA, 460 nt
Filed under: uncultured bacterium
Lineage: Bacteria
Description: partial 16S ribosomal RNA
Rfam family: Bacterial small subunit ribosomal RNA
Source: RNAcentral
CCUACGGGGGGCAGCAGUGAGGAAUAUUGGUCAAUGGGCGCGAGCCUGAACCAGCCAAGUAGCGUGAAGGAUGACUGCCCUACGGGUUGUAAACUUCUUUUAUUAAGGAAGAAUGUGAGGCACGUGUGCCGUUUUGUCUGUACUUAAUGAAUAAGGAUCGGCUAACGCCGUGCCAGCAGCCGCGGUAAUACGGAGGAUCCGAGCGUUAUCCGGAUUUAUUGGGUUUAAAGGGAGCGUAGAUGGGUUGUUAAGUCAGUUGUGAAAGUUUGCGGCUCAACCGUAAAAUUGCAAUUGAUACUGGCAGCCUUGAGUACAGAUGAGGUAGGCGGAAUACGUGGUGUAGCGGUGAAAUGCUUAGAUAUGACGAAGAACUCCGAUUGCGAAGGCAGCCUACUAAGCUGCCACUGACAUUGAUGCUCGAGAGUGUGGGUAUCAAACAGGAUUAGAUACCCCAGUAGUC